GGUUCUAUAAUUCAGUGGUAGAAUGCCUGCUUUACAUUGUGAUGCGCAGUAUGUCUUGGGUUCGAUCCCCAAUGGAAUCA
RNAcentral lists this transfer RNA (80 nucleotides) under Melampsora larici-populina 98AG31. Its description in RNAcentral is "tRNA-Val for anticodon UAC". It matches the Rfam family "tRNA". Rfam says of the family: Transfer RNA (tRNA) molecules are approximately 80 nucleotides in length. The record is from Rfam by way of RNAcentral. Lineage: Eukaryota; Fungi; Basidiomycota; Pucciniomycetes; Pucciniales; Melampsoraceae.